RNAcentral lists this ribosomal RNA (276 nucleotides) under uncultured Parvimonas sp. RNAcentral describes it as "partial 16S ribosomal RNA". It matches the Rfam family "Bacterial small subunit ribosomal RNA", at positions 80 to 354 of the family's 1533-position model. The record is from RNAcentral. Lineage: Bacteria; Bacillati; Bacillota; Tissierellia; Tissierellales; Peptoniphilaceae.
UGAGAUUUAACGAAAGUGGCGAACGGGUGAGUAACACGUGAGCAACCUGCCUUACACAGGGGGAUAGCCAUUGGAAACGGUGAUUAAUACCCCAUAAGACCACAAUACCGCAUGGUAAAAGGGUAAAAGGGAUACCGGUGUAAGAUGGGCUCGCGUCUGAUUAGCUAGUUGGUGGGGUAAAGGCCUACCAAGGCGACGAUCAGUAGCCGGUCUGAGAGGAUGAACGGCCACAUUGGAACUGAGACACGGUCCAAACUCCUACGGGAGGCAGCAGGA